AUUGAACGCUGGCGGAAUGCUUUACACAUGCAAGUCGAACGGCAGCACGGACUUCGGUCUGGUGGCGAGUGGCGAACGGGUGAGUAAUGUAUCGGAACGUGCCCAGUCGUGGGGGAUAACGUAGUGAAAAUUACGCUAAUACCGCAUACGAUCUAUGGAUGAAAGCGGGGGCUCGCAAGACCUCGCGCGACUGGAGCGGCCGAUAUCAGAUUAGGUAGGUGGUGGGGUAAAGGCCCACCAAGCCAACGAUCUGUAGCGGGUGUGAGAGGACGACCAGCCACACGGGAACUGAGACACGGUCCAGACUCCUACGGGAGGCAGCAGUGGGGAAUGUUGGACAAUGGGCGAAAGCCUGAUCCAGCCAUUCCGCGUGCAGGAUGAAGGCCCUCGGGUUGUAAACUGCUUUUGUACAGAACGAAAAGGUUUCUACUAAUACUAGGAGCUCAUGGCGGUACUGUAAGAAUAAGCACCGGCUAACUACGUGCCAGCCGCCGCGGUAA
RNAcentral lists this ribosomal RNA (500 nucleotides) under uncultured bacterium. RNAcentral describes it as "partial 16S ribosomal RNA". It matches the Rfam family "Bacterial small subunit ribosomal RNA", at positions 30 to 523 of the family's 1533-position model. The record is from RNAcentral.